This 1316-nucleotide long non-coding RNA is filed under the name Homo sapiens (human). RNAcentral's name for it is "non-protein coding lnc-RD3L-1:5". Lineage: Eukaryota; Metazoa; Chordata; Mammalia; Primates; Hominidae. The record is from RNAcentral.
CGCGCACUCCAAGGACCCCAACCUGUUAGGUCGUGACCCGGCGGAGACCAGGACACGCGGCUGCCGGCACAUACGGUGAGGCCUUCGCAGAGACUCACCUGGAGAAUGAAAACGGGCGUCAGCCCACAUCUGGAUCUGGGUACUGAGGACAACACCCAAACCCCACCCCGCACUGCCGGCAGACAGCACCGCCUCCCGCCGCUCCACUGCUCCGGGACACACACUCUCUAUAUCCCGUCCCCCCACCCACACACGCAACACAGAAGCACGCAGCGGUCGGGAGCACCGGUCCUGCGCCCCUGGCCAGCCACACCCGCAACUUCAGCGCUUCUACCGCCGCGGCGCUUCGGGAAGCACAAGCUCACAUCCCAUAUCCGCAGAACACGGGGUGCACAAGGCUGGAGUCACCUCGGGGGCUCACGAUCAGUCAGGGGCCCCGACCCCCUACUUCGCCCAUCCUAGCAAGGCGCAAGAAUCACCAUAAACGCUGGAUUUGCUGACCACAUGGCCGAUCGUGACCACCUGCUCUGUACUCACCCAGGCUUCUGGUCAGGAGAGAGGCGGGGAAGAGCUGCCCCCUCCCUGCGUCCACCAUCACUCCUGGCCUGGGAUCAGGGCAAGUUAUAAAGGGGGCCAGAGUCCCCCCUUUCUCUCUGUCCCUCUCCAGGAGGACACUCUGGGGACCACCCACCCUCCUCCCUCCCCCACAGGAAGGGGACUGGGGAAGACUGUCCUCUUCCCCCAUCCUGUCUCAUCCAAGACCCUGAGCCUGGGGCGGGGAGGGGGGGGCUCCCUUCAGCGGACCAAGGGCUUCUGGGAGGCCACCCGCCAUGUCAGUGGAUUGAUUAAAGUCAUUGUGGGGAUUUUUUUUAACAUUUAAUUUACCAGGCACGCGGCGGCUGGUCAGAGCUGUCCCCAGGGAAAUCUAGACCAAGGGAGCAAAACAGAAAAAAACCUCCUACCAUUCAGCAGGGCCCCUCUGAUGGGAUUAAUUGCCGGAACUCGGCUUCCAUUCAGACCACACGCAGCAAUGUUUCAGGGAGGGAGGAGGACAUGGGGCUUGAGUGCUCAGAUUCCUUCCCUGGGUGCUUGGAGCCCAGGGCCCUCCAUACCGCCAUCUCUCCCCAGCCUGCUGGUGCUGGUCAAGAGCCCCGCCCCCCACCUCUCCGCACCUUCGUGUCUUCAUGUGUGACGAGGUGGACGGUACCCGGAGGCAGACCAGUCCCUCCAGAGCCCACCCCACCCCCAUCCACGUCCCUUCAGUGUGCAGGGCAAGAGCUGGGAGGCACCCCAGACACGCUCCCACGGAAACUGAA